CCAAGGAGCUCAGAACUCUUGGCAGUUCGACGUUUGCAAACAAACCAAAGAGGAGCAGAAAGUUUUCAGACUGAGGCGACAUCCCAACAGCUUGGCUUGAAGGAGUACUUUAGGACUCAGAACAACAGGAUGAAGACAGCAGCUAAAAUAGAACACACCAGCAGAGACAUUCAGCUCCUCGAGCUGUGCUUCCGAAGCUCGAGCAUGGCAGAGUGGCCUUGUUAAAUCAGAGUUCAGGGUGCCACCCUGACAGUUUCUGGUUCUGUAGGUGCCCAGUAGGGACCAAGAAUCCUUUUUUUUUUCCUUUUUCUUUUUAAUAGAGUCAGAGUCUUGCUGUGUUGCCCACAUGGGUCUCAAACUCAAGCAAUCCUCCCACCUCGACCUCCCAAAGCACUGGAAUUCCAGGCAUAAGCCACCGUGCCUGGCCAAGAACAUUUUUUUUUUUUUAACAAGUUUCUAAAUGAUGCUGGUCUACUGGUCCUGGGACCACACUUUGAAAUUGGUGGGAUAGGGGGCUGGGAUCUUUAUCCAUUCACUCAACUCCCAUUCCCCAUGGUUGAAAGUUUCCCUGGGGCAUCCCUGGGAGGCCUGGGGGCUGACAAGAUUCAAACUUUUUGGUGAAAAGCCCCAAGACAGUGAAGUGGGGUGUGCUUGAAGUGGGGCACCGUCAUCACCCACCUACCCACCACAGAGGUGGGCUAAAAGGUAAGGUGUGGCUCACAAAAAUCUUCUGCUAAAUACCUAUCUUUGCCUCCAUUUCUUCCUCUUUAAGACGGGGGUAACUGUACCAGUGUUCUAGGGUAACAUGUACCACCCUUGAAUACAGUGUUGCUCCCUGUCAUGACUCACGGACAGGUUACCAGACCGGAGCCUCCAGCAAUCCAGGAGCACAAACAAGGAUGCCUUAAAACAAAACUUGUGUCAGGGUACCCUUCGCUGCCUCAGAGGAAAUCAGAAUGACCUGGUGGACAACUGUUCAUAAGGACAAGAGCCAGCAUCACUGCCUUUGAGUCCCAGCCUCCUCAAAUCCAUUUUCUGCCCUGCACCACCUCAUCAUAUCCCAGAUAUUGUUAGUGUCGUGUCAUUUCAUGACUCAGGAGCUGCGGGUGACUUUGGUAAGAGCGGAGCGGUCGCUGUCUCAUCUGUCACCUCCUCCCUUCACCUCUGUGCAGCCAACAUCCAGGGAGCCUGCCUCUUGCUGUCCUUUUCAAAGCUUUCUGGGUCUCUCCUCUGUGCCUCUGAUCCAGUCUUUCAUGCUGCCCAGAACACUGUCUCUUUCUCCCAUGCCAGUGACAUCCAUUACUUUCUUCAAGGUCUGGCUCAAAACCCAGCACUCAGCCAGGCACGGUGGCUCACACCUGUAAUCCCACCACUUUGGGAGGCCAAAGCAGGCAGAUCACGAGGCCAGGAGAUUGAGACCAUCCUGGCUAACACAGUGAAACCCUGUCCUACUAAAAAUACAAAAAGUUAGCCAGGCGUGGUGGCAGGUGCCUGUAGUCCCAGCUACUCGGGAGGCUGAGGCAGGAGAGUGGCAUGAACCCUGGAGGCGGAGCUUGCAGUGAGCCAAGAUAGCAUCACUGCACUCCAGCCUGGGUGACAGAGCAAGACUCUGUCUCAAAAAAAAAAAAAAAAAAAAACUCAGCACUCUUGGGAAAUUUCCCCUCCAGGGAGACAAGGUCACACAGGGCACAGAGAACCUUGGUGGGAGGCAGAAGCCCUAGGUUUGUUUAUGUCCUGGCUCAGACACUUUGCAGCCUCAUAGAUGACAUUAAACAAGCUCCUUAGCCUGUUAUCUUAACUUUGGGCUACCCUAAAAGCAGAGACUAUGAUAUGGACUUGGAUAUGUGUAGUUAAUUUGGGAAGUGAUCCAGGGAAGCCAGAAUGAGGGGUGGGAAGUAGGAAAAAUCAAACAACUAUGUGUCAUUGAGCCCACUGCUCCUGUGGGCUACUGGAGAUCAGUCACACGGGGCACUCUCUGUGAACCGUGUUCAAAGCCCCUCAGAAUUGGCCCCCCAAAGAAUGGGAGGCUGGGAUCUCUAUCUGUUGACUCAACUCCUAUUCCCUAUGGUUGAAGGUUGCCCUGGGGGCACCACUGGGGGCUGACAAGACUCAAAGGCUUUCGAGAAAAGCCCUGAAACAGUGAAAUGAGGUGUGCUGGAAGUGGAGCACUGUCACCACCCACCUGCGCACCACAGAGGUGGACUAAGGGUGAAGUAUGGCUGACAAAAGUCUUCUGCUAAAUACCUGUCUGUGCCUCAGUUUCUUCCUCUUUAAGAUGGGGUAACUAUCCACAUUUUAGGGUAGCAUCAAAUGACAGGGGUGACAUAUGCGAAGGCCCCUCCCUCAGCACAUGCCAGCCACCCCAGUUCCCUGACUGUGUCCACUCAACACUUACAACUGUUGUGUUCAUCCUGUCUACGUGCAUGUACGGUCCCUCAGUGUUAUCUAUGGCUAUUUCAGGUCUUUUAUCUUAGCUGAAGAUAAGGGCAGGUUCUUUCCUUCUUUUUUGUCACCCAUCCCAAAGUGCCUACCACACAGCUGAAUGCCAAGUAGGUCCUUGGUACAAAUGGGUGUCGAGUGAAUUUGCUGUCCCAAAACAGUCAUCUGUGAGCCUGUUCUCUUCCACGGAGAUGCCCUGCAAGGCCAUGGAGAAGCCAUAGGGCAGUGUCCUAGCCUGCUUCUUACAGCUGAGAGACCAGCUCCAACAUUGCGUGAGCCCAUGGCCAAACUGCUGGUGAAGUACCAUGCUCUGUGGCAAACACAUGGCAGCUUGGGGAGGGAAGUCUUCUGACGCCCUGAGCCCUGGCAGGGCAAUGGGCAGUAGAUCAAGCUGGCCUGCCCUGCGUGGGCCUUCAGCAGGGAUGCAGGCGAGGCUCCCAGAAGACGAUGACUCAGGCCUGCAUCUGUGACUGGUUAUUCCAGAUGCUGCCCUGCAAUGGGACUGUUCUCUGCUCCCCCCACCCCCAACACCAGUACAGCACGGGAAUGCAUGAGAGUGAGCCUUGGUUUCUUUAGGGGAGUCACUGCGUAAUUGGAGAGCAGUGUUCAUGGGCAAGACAAAGGAGGGCCGGGGCAAGUAAGGGAAGAUGAGAAGAUGAUGUUCCGAGCUACUCUCGGCAUAAAAUGUGCUUUGAAUAUUUUGGAUUAUUUUUCCAAUUGUAGAGAGAGUUUUCCCUGAGACACUGGUUCGUCACCAAGUCAGGUGACGCUGGGUCUGGGGCACUCUGCAUCUACAGCCUGGAACACAAUCGUCUUCUCUAGGCAAAACCACGUGACUCACAUGAGGCUCAAAGCUGGACCCUUCUUGCCGUCUAUACCAUACUUAGCAAAGACAACAGGCUUAACUGCUCUGUGAAAAAUGCUAAACAACUUCUCAAAAACAAUAAACAUCUUCUACCUACCUGAAUGUUUACAUUUAGACAGGCCUUUAAGAUUAUUAGUCUCUAUAAAAAUAUACAGGCAUACCUCAGAGAUAAUUCAAGUUCAGUUCCAGGCCACUGCAAUAAAGCAGAUAUCACAAUAAAGCAAGUCACACAAAUUUUGUGGUUCCCCAGUGCUUAUCAAAGCUGUGUUUGCACUAUACUAUAGCCUAUUAAGUGUGCAAUGAUAUUAUGUCUUUAAAAAAAGUACACAUGUCAUUUUAAAAAGACCUUAUUGACAAAAAGUGCUGACAGACACAAAGUGAGCAUAUGCUCUUGGGGAAAAUGGCACCGAUAGACUCAUUCGAUGCAGGGUUGCCGUGAAUCUUCAAUUUGUAAAAAACACAAUACCUGCGAAGCAUAAUAAAGUGAAAUGCAAUAAAACAAGGUAUACCUGUAAACAACUCUAAAAUCAGUUAUUUACUCUUUUUUCCCUUCACCUGGAAUUCCUACCUGGUUAUCUCUAACUACAGUAAUCCCAUCCUUAAGACCUUGCUCAAAUGCCCCCUCCUCCAGGAAGUCCUCAUGAUCACCUCCACCCAAAAGAGCUCUUCCCUGGAGACAGAGGGAAGGCAGUCACAAAAAAGACAGUUUGUCUCCUUUAUAGUUUGACCUCACAUAAACUUUGGUGUCCUGGGAAGAAUAAUGCCAACAUUUCCACACUAUACAUGUGGAAAUGGCUUCAAACUCAUAUAAAUCUUUGGUUUAAUAACCCUGUAUAAAUGCAGUUGGAGAGAGGGAGGAUGAGGGAGAUUUAAAAAUAAGAGGCCAACGGAGAGGAGGCUAUUAAACUAUGUGGCAAUGAUUUAUUGAUUGAGAAGUAAAGGGAAUUCCUCUCUGUCUUCUUCUAAAUGAUCGGUUUCCAACUUCUAAACACUCCCAGAUGUGGAAUGCAUGUUUCUUCCUUCCAUUCCUCUCUGCAGGCUGCCCUGACAUUUGUUAAAUUGGCUCCUGGGUCCUGGUUUGCAAAUGUUGCCACUUUGAGAUCCGUAGAUGGUCAUCCCUGGCUCCCUUGGGGAGUGUCCUGGAAUCCACCAGCUCCAUCUGCUCGACAAGAGACUUGAGUUUGUUCUGUUACCUCUUUCAUCAUUAGCCAAAGCUCCGGGACUUGGUUAAAACUUUAGGCAAUUAAAAAGACUGACUUAUG
Long non-coding RNA from Pan troglodytes (chimpanzee), 4566 nucleotides. RefSeq lists it as uncharacterized. The transcript is spliced from 2 exons. Lineage: Eukaryota; Metazoa; Chordata; Mammalia; Primates; Hominidae. The record is from RefSeq and is a predicted model, not a curated record.